UUCUGGCUCAGGAUGAACGCUAGCGAUAGGCCUAACACAUGCAAGUCGAGGGGCAUCACAUGAGGUAGCAAUACUGAUGGUGGCGACCGGCGCACGGGUGAGUAACACGUAUGCAACCUGCCUUCAACAAGGGCAUAACCCGUUGAAAGACGGACUAAUUCCCUAUGACACAGGGGUCCCGCAUGGGGAUAUUUGUUAAAGAUUAAUCGGUUGGAGAUGGGCAUGCGUUCCAUUAGCUUGUUGGCGGGUAACGGCCACCAAGGCAACGAUGGAUAGGGGAACUGAGAGGUUUAUCCCCCACACUGGUACUGAGACACGGACCAGACUCCUACGGGAGGCAGCAGUGAGGAAUAUUGGUCAAUGGGCGCAAGCCUGAACCAGCCACGUCGCCGUGAAGGAAGACGGCCCUACGGGUUGUAAACUUCUUUUGCAAGGGAAUAAAGUUGGCCACGCGUCGGCCUUUUCGCAUGUACCUUGCGAAUAAGGAUCGGCUAACUCCGUGCCAGCAGCUGC
Molecule: ribosomal RNA, 513 nt
Filed under: uncultured bacterium
Lineage: Bacteria
Description: bacterial SSU rRNA
Rfam family: Bacterial small subunit ribosomal RNA
Source: RNAcentral